UUCAUCUUUCAGUUCUUGGAUCAUUUUACUGGGUUACUUGGAUUCCUUGGAUUGAGUUUCAACUUUCUUCUGAAUCCCAAUGAGCUUCCUUUCUAUCCAGAUUCUGAAUUUUGUGUUUGUCAUUUCAGCCAUUUCAGACCGGUUAAGAACCAUUUCUAGGGAGCUAGUGACCCAUUUGGAUGUAAGGAGAUGCUGUGGUUUUUUUGAAUUGCCAGAGAUCUUGUGCUGAUUCUUUCUCAUCUGGUAGGGUUGGUGUUCCCUUAACUGUGGUGUAAGCUGAGUAUGGUCAGUUGGCUUCAUUUCUGGAUGCUUUCGGAGGGCCAGGGCUCUGUACAGAAUCCGCAUAUGUGGGUGAAUUCUUGCACCUGGUUUCACAUCCUGCAUAUAUUAGCACGGUAAUUUUAGUGUUGUAGUUUGUGCUGUGAUCCAGUAGAAGGCGCUUAAGAGUAACGGCCGGUAGCUAGGCUAACACCCAGCUUGUGUGGCUCUCGUACUUUCUUGUUCACAGGCAUGCUCUGAGGUGGGUCAGGGAGAGAGACGGCCCCCUCACAAGGUUUGCUUCUAGGACUUGUGGGGAGCCAGCUCCAAUCCCUGGCACUGCACCUGCAUUUCUUUUGUUAGGUGUUCCAAGCUGCAGGGGACUCCUGAGGCAGAGGCUGCAACAGGACAUUAUUUAUAUUUCUAUAUUUUAAAACUGUCUUUCAUUUCCUUUAGCAACUGUUUUUAGUUUUCUGUACACAAGUCUUGCAUGUCUUUUGCUAAAUUUAAAUAUUUUAUGUUUUUUAAUAUAAAUUCAGGUUUUAAAAUUCAAUUAUCCAAUUGUUUAUCAUUAGUAUACAAAAUAUAAUUUUUAUAUGUUGUAAUAAUAAAUUAAUGUAUGAACUUACUAAUUUGAGUAGUUAAUAUAUAGAUUUCUUUUAAUAUUUGCAUGUAAGUAGUCCUUUCAUCUCUGAAAAAGGUUUUCUUUAUCUUUUGAUAUUUAGCUUUUUAGUAUUUUUCUUGUCUUUAUGCAUCAGUACAAUAUGGAAUAGAAGUGGUAAGGGUGAACAUUAUUGACUUGUUUAUGAUCUUGAACAUGUUUAAUAUUUAAGAAAUAAAAAUGGGAAGACGUUUAAUAUUUCUGUCAUUAAAGUGUGACAUAAGCUGUUGGUUUCUUUCAGGUGCCUUUAUUAGAUUGAAGAAGUCCCUUUUUAAUCUAAUUUUCUGAGGGUUUUUAUUAUAAAUGAGUUUGGGAUUUUACCAAUUUUUUUCUGUCUGUACGUAUAAUCAAAUAGAUUUUUAAAAAUGUGUUAACAAGAUGAAUUACAUUGAUUGAUUUUUAAAUAUUAUAUCAAACUUUCUCCUAGAAUAGACUCUAUUUAAAUAUUUGAAUAAUAUUUUUAGAUUCUGUUUUGAUUUUUAUUUGUUGGCUUUUUGCUAUACCUCUUUAAUAUUUUCAGGGCUAUUCUGGAAAAUAAAGAAUGAUACAUUUAAAACUAUUUGUCUACUUACUAUAUUGUAGAAGUUUACUUAAAAUAUAAGAAAUUUGUAUCUAAUAGAUCUGUUUUUCCUACUUCCAUCCUUUAGAUUUUAGUGUCAUUCUGUAUUAUAUAUAUUUUAUAUAUCCUAUAAUACAAUGAUGAAAUUUUUACUUUAGCUAGUCUUACAUAUGAUAUAGAAUUUUUAAGACUCUUUAAUAUCUGACUGCAUUUCACUACUUCUUGUGCUCUUCAUUUCUUCCUCACAAUCCAAGCUUCCAACUGGUAUUAUUUCUUUUUUACCUAAGAGAAUUCCAUUGCCAUUUACUAUCAUGUAGUUCUACUGUCAAUGAAUAUUUUAAUUUUUAUUUAUAUUCAGAUAACUUUACUGUGGUAUUUUAAUUUUUAGCUGAAUAUUUUAUAUCAAAUUCUGGGUUGACUUUUUGUAUUUCUUGUAGCACUUUAAAGCUACAGUUCCCUUCUCUUCUGGUAUUCACUUUUUUAAAAUGAAAAAUUAUCAUUAUUCAUGUCAUUGUUCCUGGUAUGUAUGAUUUUUCUCUGGCUGUUUGAAGAUUUUGUCUUCUUUUCUAGUUUUGGACAAUUUGACUGUGAUGUGCCUAGGUAGGUGUUCUACAGAUUAUUUUUCUGAAAUUCUUUUUAUGUCUUUCAAUAUACUUUUUAAUUAGGCUUUUAAAAAAUAUAUUGUUUUUUAUCCAUGCUUUUUUAUAUCUCCUCUUCUUUCACUUUUACUCCAAUUUCACACAUUUUGUACCUUUUGAUAUUUUUCUAAAGAUCACUGAGGCUAUUUUUUCAUAUUUUUUCUCCUGUUUUCUAGAUUUUGUAAUUUCUAUGGAUAUAACAUCAAGUUUCUGAAUCUUUCUUCUGUCAUCUCUAAUCUGCUAGAGAUUUCAUUUAGUGAGAUUUUAUUUAAUUUUCAAAUAUUGCAGUUUAAAUUUUAAAGUUUUCAUUUAUUUUUAAUAGUUUUCAUUAUCGUUAUAAACGUUCCUAUUUUAUUCAUUAUAAGAACAUUUUCUUUUAUAUCCUUAAACAUGAUUAUAAUAGCUACUUUAAAUUUCAGUCUAGUAAUUCCAGCAUCCAGGUAAACUCAAAGUUUGUAUCCACUAAUGGCCUCUUCAUUCAAAUUAGGUCAUGUAAUUUCUUUUCUUCAUAUGCCUAGUAAUUUUUGCAUUGUAUCUUGGACACUGUCAACAAUAUAUCUAGAUUUUGUUUUAUCCUUCUAAGGAUGGUUGGAUUUUUGUUUUAACAGGCAUUUAACUUGGUUGUAUUUGUACUUCAAAUUCUGUUUCCUAUAGCCAGCAACAGCUGAAAUCUCUAUCCAGUUAUGUUAGGUUUAACACUGCUGAUUCCAGUAUUCCUCUCACAUGCAUAGUUUAGGCAUCAACCAGAGAUUCAAACAGAGUUUGUAUGGAGAACAUUGGGUUGUUCUUUUUUGGACUUUCCCUUCUUGGAUGUCUUUCCUAACUCUACAGCUGGCUUUUUAAUGGGUUUCUAUUUGACUGGGAACUACUUUCCAGCAAAAAGCUACAAAAACAGAAAAUUUACCUGUCAUCCAAGUGUUGACUUCCCUGUAGUUUCUACUGGCUGUUGGUUGCUUUGCUGUCCCUUAAGAAGUGCCUUUUGCCUCCCGCCAUGAUUCUGAGGCCUCCGCAGCCCUGUGGAACUGUAAGUCCAAUUAAACUUUUUCUUCCUAGUCACAGGUAUGUCUUUAUCAGCAGCAUAAAAAUGGACUAAUACAGAAAAUUGUUAUCAGUAGAGUGGGGUGUUGCUGAAAAGAUACCGGAAAAUGUGAAAGCAACUUUGCAAGUGGGUAACAGGCAGAGAUUGGAACAGUUUGGAGGACUCAGAAGAAGACAGGAAAAUGUGGGAAAGUUUGGAACUUCCUAGAGACUUGUUGAAUGCCUUUGACAAAAAUGCUGAUAGUGAUAUGAACAAUAAGGUCCAGGCUGAGGUGGUUUCAGAUGGAGAUGAGGAAAUUGUUGGGAACUGGAGCAAAGGUGACUCUUGUUAUGUUUUAGAAAAGAGACAGAUGGCAUUUUGUCCCCACCCUAGAGAUUUACGGAACUUUGAACUUGAGAGAGAUGAUUUAGGGUAUCUGGCAGAAGAAAUUUCUAAGCAGCAAAGUGUUCAAAAGGUGACUAGGGUGCUAUUAAAAGCAUUCCAUUUUAAAAAGGAAACAGAACAUAAAAGUUUAUAAAAUUUGUAGCCUGACAAUGCAGUGGAAAAAACCCAUUUUCUGAGGAGAAAUUCAACACAGCUGUAGAAAUUUGCAUAAGAAGCCUAAUGUUAAUCCCCAAAACCAUGGGAAAAUGUCUCCAGGCCAUGUCAGAGACCUUCAUGGCAGCCCCUCCCAUUACAGGCCUGGAGGUCCAGGAUGAAAAACUGGUUUAAUGGGCCAGGCCCAGGGUCCCCAUGCCAUGUGCAGCCUAGGGACUUGGUGUCCUGUGUCCCAGCCACUCCAGCCAUAGAUGAAAGGGGCCAACAUAGAGCUCAGGUUGUGUCUUCAGAGGGUGGAAGCCUUGGCACCUUUCAUGUGAUGUUGAGCCUGUAGGUGCACAGAAGUCAAGAAUUGAGGUUUGGGAACCUCCACCUAGAUUUUAGAAGAUGUAUGGGAAGGCCUGGAUGCCCAGGCAAAAUUUGCUGCAGGGGUGGGGCUCUCAUGGAGAACCUCUGCUAGGGCAGCACAGAAGGGAAAUGUGGGGUUGGAGCCCCCACACAAAGUCCCUACUUGGGUACGGCCUAGUGGAGCUGUGAGAAGAGGGCCACCGUCUUCCAGACCCCAGAAUGGUAGAUCCACCAACAACUUGUGCUGUGUACUUGGAAAAGCCACAUGCACUCAAUGCCAGCCUGUGAAAGCAGCCGGGAGGGAGACUGUACUCUGCAAAGCCACAGGAGUGGAGCUGCCCAAGACCAUGGGAACCCACCGCUUGCCCCAGCGUGACCUGGAUGUCAGACCUGGAGUCAAAGGAGAUCGUUUUGGAGCUUCAAAAUUUGGCUGCCCCACUGGAUUUCAGACUUUCAUGGGGACUUGUAACCCCUUUGUUUUGGCCAAUUUCUCCCAUUUGGAAUGGCUGUAUUUAUCUAAUCCCUGUACCCCUAUUGUGUCUAGGAAGUAACUAGCUUAUUUUGCAGGCUCAUAGGUGGAAGGCACUUGCCUUGUCUCAGAUGAGACUUUGGACUGUGGACUUUUGGGUAAUUGCUGAAAUGAAUUAAGACUUCGGGGGACUGUUGGGAAGGCAUGAUUGGUUUUGAAAUGUGAGGACAUCAGAUUUGGAGGGGCCUGAGGCAGAAGGAUAUGGUUUGGCUGUGUAUCCACCCAAAUCUCUACUUGAAUUGUAUCUCCCAGAAUUCCAUGUGUUGUGGGAGGGACCCAGGGGGAGGUAAUUGAAUCAUGGGGGCCAGUCUUUCCUGAGCUAUUCUCAUGGUAGUGAAUAAGUCUCGCGAGAUAUGAUGGGUUUCUCAGGGGUUUCUGCUUUUGCUUCUUUCUGAUUUUUCUCUUGCUGCCACCAUGUAAGAAGUGCCUUUCACCUCCUGCCAUGAUUCUGAACCCUCCCCAGCCAUGUGGAACUGUUAAGUCCAAUUAAACCUCUUUUUCUUCCCA
Pan troglodytes (chimpanzee) is the source of this 5076-nucleotide long non-coding RNA. RefSeq lists it as uncharacterized. NCBI's taxonomy places the organism in Eukaryota, Metazoa, Chordata, Mammalia, Primates, Hominidae. The transcript has 2 exons. The record is from RefSeq and is a predicted model, not a curated record.